GAUGAACGCUGACAGAAUGCUUAACACAUGCAAGUCUUUGGCGAAGCUGUGCUAGCACAGCCUAGCCAAGGCGGACGGGUGAGUAACGCGUAAGGAACUUGCCCUGCAGUCAGGGAUAACAGACGGAAACGACUGAUAAGACCUGGUAAAGUCAGGCGGACUCAUGUCCAGCCUGAUGAAAAGAGAUGCUGCAGGAGAGCCUUGCGUCCUAUUAGCUUGUUGGUGGGGUAACGGCCCACCAAGGCGAUGAUAGGUAGCCGGCCUGAGAGGGUGGACGGCCACAAGGGGACUGAGAUACGGCCCUUACUCCUACGGGAGGCAGCAGUGGGGAAUAUUGGACAAUGGGGGCAACCCUGAUCCAGCAAUUCUGUGUGUACGAUGAAGGUUUUCGGAUUGUAAAGUGCUUUCAGCAGGGAAGAAAAAAAUGACGGUACCUGCAGAAGAAGCGACGGCUAAAUACGUG
Molecule: ribosomal RNA, 463 nt
Filed under: uncultured bacterium
Lineage: Bacteria
Description: partial 16S ribosomal RNA
Rfam family: Bacterial small subunit ribosomal RNA
Source: RNAcentral